This 126-nucleotide non-coding RNA is filed under the name Pteridomonas danica. Lineage: Eukaryota; Dictyochophyceae; Pedinellales. The record is from RNAcentral.
AUUGAGUGUUUUGAAUGUUUUGCGACUUUUUGUUUGUAUGGAGAGAAGAUUCGGCUUUUUGUUUUUCUUGUUUCUUUUUUGUUUCUUUUUUGUGUGUGUGUUAAAAAAAAAAAAAAAUUUAAAAAA